AAUUUUGGACAAUGGGGGAAACCCUGAUCCAGCCAUCCCGCGUGUAUGAUGAAGGCCUNCGGGUUNUNAAGUACUUUUGGCAGAGNAGAAAAGGUACUUCCUAAUACGAGGUACUGCUGACGGUAUCUGCCGAAAAGCCACCGGCCAACUACGUGCCAGCAGCGGCGGUAAUACGUAGGGUGCAAACGUUAAUCGGAAUUACUGGGCGUAAAGCGUGUGUAGGCGGGUCGGAAAAGAAGAUGUGAAAUCCCAGGGCUCAACCUUGGAACUGCAUUUUUAACUGCCGAGCUAGAGUAUGUCAGAGGGGGGUAGAAUUCCACGUGUAGCAGUGAAAUGCGUAGAUAUGUGGAGGAAUACCGAUGGCGAAGGCAGCCCCCUGGGAUAAUACUGACGCUCAGACACGAAAGCGUGGGGAGCAAACAG
Molecule: ribosomal RNA, 423 nt
Filed under: uncultured bacterium
Lineage: Bacteria
Description: partial 16S ribosomal RNA
Rfam family: Bacterial small subunit ribosomal RNA
Source: RNAcentral